This 396-nucleotide ribosomal RNA is filed under the name uncultured Sphingobacteriales bacterium. RNAcentral describes it as "bacterial SSU rRNA". It matches the Rfam family "Bacterial small subunit ribosomal RNA", at positions 986 to 1382 of the family's 1533-position model. The record is from RNAcentral. Lineage: Bacteria; Pseudomonadati; Bacteroidota; Sphingobacteriia; Sphingobacteriales.
CGUAAGAUGACUGUAGGUGAAAGCUUACAUCUCUUCGGAGCAUUUUACGAGGUGCUGCAUGGUUGUCGUCAGCUCGUGCCGUGAGGUGUCGGGUUAAGUCCCAUAACGAGCGCAACCCCUACCUUUAGUUGCCAUCAGGUUAAGCUGGGGACUCUAAAGGAACUGCCUACGCAAGUAGUGAGGAAGGCGGGGAUGACGUCAAAUCAGCACGGCCCUUACGUCCAGGGCUACACACGUGCUACAAUGGCCGAUACAGAGGGCAGCGACACUGCGAGGUGAAGCCAAUCCCGUAAAAUCGGUCUCAGUCCGGAUUGGAGUCUGCAACUCGACUCCAUGAAGUUGGAAUCGCUAGUAAUCGUGGAUCAGCAUGCCACGGUGAAUACGUUCCCGGGCCUU